UACGAAGGGGGCUAGCGUUGCUCGGAAUCACUGGGCGUAAAGCGCACGUAGGCGGAUCGUUAAGUCGGGGGUGAAAUCCUGGAGCUCAACUCCAGAACUGCCUUCGAUACUGGCGAUCUUGAGUCCGGAAGAGGUGAGUGGAACUCCUAGUGUAGAGGUGGAAUUCGUAGAUAUUAGGAAGAACACCAGUGGCGAAGGCGGCUCACUGGUCCGGUACUGACGCUGAGGUGCGAAAGCGUGGGGAGCAAACAGGG
Molecule: ribosomal RNA, 254 nt
Filed under: uncultured bacterium
Lineage: Bacteria
Description: partial 16S ribosomal RNA
Rfam family: Bacterial small subunit ribosomal RNA
Source: RNAcentral